CUAUAAGUAGCAUGUACUUUACAUUUUUGAGAACAAGUUUUUUCUAAGUUUUAUUCCGCAGACACAGUGUUCUUGACCUUUUGUAAUCCGGAUUUCUCUAAUCUAUUCAGUAUUCAGCAUUUGCUUUUUAUUUCGUUUACUGUUGUUCAUCCUAUUAUCAUCUUGCUA
This 168-nucleotide small RNA is filed under the name Arabidopsis thaliana (thale cress). RNAcentral's name for it is "ATSL200030". The record is from RNAcentral. Lineage: Eukaryota; Viridiplantae; Streptophyta; Magnoliopsida; Brassicales; Brassicaceae.